Eutrema salsugineum is the source of this 618-nucleotide long non-coding RNA. RefSeq lists it as uncharacterized. NCBI's taxonomy places the organism in Eukaryota, Viridiplantae, Streptophyta, Magnoliopsida, Brassicales, Brassicaceae. The record is from RefSeq and is a predicted model, not a curated record. The transcript has 3 exons.
UACAGCUUAUGGGAGAUCAUUCCCUGAUGUUGUCAAAGGUGUGGAGCAUACUUUACAGAGUCUGAAUUCUGACAAAGAGACGACUCCAACGACUUUCAAAUAUAAGAGAUCGCUUGAGAAUCAGUUAACCUCAACCAUGCUGCAUCUCCUCAGCCUAGUCUCAAGCUGUCAUUGUGAAGGGUUGGCAGAUUUUCUCGUUAAAAAAGCAUCGUUUCUAGAGGAGUGGUUGAGAGGAUUGUGUGUGACAUUGAAGGAGGAAGACAAUGCGUCUCGAUCAAGCGGCACAAGCACUUCGGGUGAGAAGCAGAAGAAAGAGUUGAUAUCUAAAGCUAUACGGUCACUUGCCAGAAGCUUAGGGGCUGGACAGAGCCCUGAAAGGGCUCUAAACUUGCAAGAGUUAGAUAGCAAUGUGAAUUGACUUAGCAAGCUACGUUUUUGGGUUAUCUUGGCCCUGUAAUAUGACUGUACAAUAGUUCCAUGACAAAUUUGUUAUGGUACAUAAAAUUAUUUUUGGCCGAUAUACAUUUGAUCUUUGAAUAUAGGAUAGAAAACAUAUGUAUAUUUGGUGUAUUACAUACACAAUUUUGUAUAAUACUAUGCAUCGUUAGUAACCUUGAA